Molecule: long non-coding RNA, 919 nt
Filed under: Homo sapiens (human)
Lineage: Eukaryota; Metazoa; Chordata; Mammalia; Primates; Hominidae
Description: HSALNT0366130
Source: RNAcentral
UGAUUAUCUACUUAGGACAGGUUUGGGUACAGCCACUCAUGGAAGCCAGGAACCAGCUUCUAACCAUGGAAGCUUUGUGUUUUCUGUAUAAGCUGUCCUUGACUACGGACAAAGAAUGGGUACCGAGUGUUCAGUUGGCAUCAUAAUAGGAAACAGAAUUCUACACAGAUGGUUCAACGGAACAGAGUUUCUUGAGGGGCAUAUUUAUGGAGGGGUAAGGAGACCAGCAAGGGAUAUUGAGGCACCCAGGGCUAAACUUAGAGGGAAGCUGUCAUCACCCUAGGGCCUGAGGAGGAAGGGGAGAAAAUACUGUUUGGGGGGCCUGGUGGGAGCUGUAGCUGGGAGGAGGACCAUGAGGGAGAAACCAUAGUCAUGGAAGGAUGUUGUCACUGCCAGGACCAAGACACCAAGACUGUGUGCUAGGCACUGAGUUAGAGUUGAAGACCCUCAAGAAUUCCACUGACAACUGAAUCAUCAAAGGGAACCGAGCCCUGCCCAAGGACAUACAGUUGUUUUCCUCUUCCUUGUCCUUUGGAGAAGCACAGCUGAAGCUUCCUGCCCACACCCCAGCCCCUCCUCCUUGAGCAUGAAUGUGCAGACCACCCACCGCCCCAUGCUUGUAUCUACAACAGCUAUGAGGAAGAACAUACAGAUUAAUCACCCUGCUGCGGGAUGCCAGCUACCCAGUGGCUCUGGCAGCCCCAGUCAAUGGAUCCUGCAGUGUAGCCUUCAUCAGUAGAGCUGCCACUGCCAGCACCCAAAAGAUGCUGAAGGAGAGAAGUUAAAGAACCUGUCCAAAAUCGCACAGCUAGUUAGUAAUAAAGCUUGGGUGGAAUUCUGCUUUUCUGACUCCCAGAUUAGUAUUUCUUUGACUUUACCUCCCCUUUGGAAAAAUGAAGCGAUUCAGGGGAAGUUCCUG